Molecule: ribosomal RNA, 492 nt
Filed under: uncultured bacterium
Lineage: Bacteria
Description: partial 16S ribosomal RNA
Rfam family: Bacterial small subunit ribosomal RNA
Source: RNAcentral
AGUGAACGCUGGCGGUAGGCCUAACACAUGGAAGUCGAACGGCAGCACAGUAAGAGCUUGCUCUUACGGGUGGCGAGUGGCGGACGGGUGAGGAAUACAUCGGAAUCUACUUUUUCGUGGGGGAUAACGUAGGGAAACUUACGCUAAUACCGCAUACGACCUACGGGUGAAAGCAGGGGAUCUUCGGACCUUGCGCGAUUGAAUGAGCCGAUGUCGGAUUAGCUAGUUGGCGGGGUAAAGGCCCACCAAGGCGACGAUCCGUAGCUGGUCUGGGAGGAUGAUCAGCCACACUGGAACUGAGACACGGUCCAGACUCCUACGGGAGGCAGCAGUGGGGAAUAUUGGACAAUGGGCGCAAGCCUGAUCCAGCCAUACCGCGUGGGUGAAGAAGGCCUUCGGGUUGUAAAGCCCUUUUGUUGGGAAAGAAAAGCAGCAGGUUAAUACCCCGCUGUUCUGACGGUACCCAAAGAAUAAGCACCGGCUAACUUCGUG